GACGAACGCUGGCGGCGUGCCUAAUACAUGCAAGUCGAACGCUUCUUUCCUCCCGAGUGCUUGCACUCAAUUGGAAAGAGGAGUGGCGGACGGGUGAGUAACACGUGGGUAACCUACACAUCAGAGGGGGAUGACACUUGGAAACAGGUGCUAAUACCGCAUAACAGUUUAUGCCGCAUGGCAUAAGAGUGAAAGGCGCUUUCGGGUGUCGCUGAUGGAUGGACCCGCGGUGCAUUAGCUAGUUGGUAAGGUAACGGCUCACCAAGGCCACGAUGCAUAGCCGACCUGAGAGGGUGAUCGGCCACACUGGGACUGAGACACGGCCCAGACUCCUACGGGAGGCAGCAGUAGGGAAUCUUCGGCAAUGGACGAAAGUCUGACCGAGCAACGCCGCGUGAGUGAAGAAGGUUUUCGGAUCGUAAAACUCUGUUGUUAGAGAAGAACAAGGACGUUAGUAACUGAACGUCCCCUGACGGUAUCUAACCAGAAAGCCACGGCUAACUACGUG
RNAcentral lists this ribosomal RNA (508 nucleotides) under uncultured bacterium. RNAcentral's name for it is "partial 16S ribosomal RNA". It matches the Rfam family "Bacterial small subunit ribosomal RNA", at positions 28 to 507 of the family's 1533-position model. The record is from RNAcentral.